CAGUCAGUUACUCAGUCAGUCAGUCACUCAGUCACCCAGUCAGUCACCCAGUCAGUCACCCAGUCAGUCACUCACUUACCCCCCACCACCCACCACGUUGCUUCUUCAGUCUUCAGUCUUCCGUCUUCAGUCUUCAGUUUUUAUUCUUCCGUCUUCUUCAGUUAACAGCUGAUAGUCCUCGAUUGCUCAAUGUUGAUCCGGAGAGGCCUCAUAGAGAACCCCGACCGGCACCGAACAACCCAGCUUUCCAGCAAUAUUAACCACGAUGAUCUGAACCUGAUCGCAGCGCGGGUCCUAUAAGUAAACUUUUCGAGCGAGGACUGUGACGUCAGUCAUGACGUCUCUGUUGUCAUGACGUCAGUCAUGACGUCUCUGUUGUCAUGAUGUCAGUCAUGACGUCUCUGUUGUCAUGAUGUCAGUCAUGACGUCUGUGUAGUGAUGACGAUGAUCUCCGAUCAACCAAUCAAUGGGCUAAAUGUGAUAGUUUAUUCAACGUCAGCAUAAACAUAAUUUAAUGAUAUCAUGAAUAGCUCUGACCCAGAUCAGGGUUAAUAAAUGACCGUAUUACAGUGAUGAAAUAUAGUCAUUUAAAUGCUGUUGAAACAACAGUUAUACUGGAUGUGUUACAACCCAGAGGUGGUGUAGGGGUGAAGGAAGUAACAUACAGCCGGUGUUAUCAGGCAAUCGCUUGUUUUAUUGCCGUGAAUGAAAUUAAAGUAAAAUAAAGCAUACAAUGGUUUGAA
This is a long non-coding RNA of Sebastes umbrosus (honeycomb rockfish), 743 nucleotides long. RefSeq lists it as uncharacterized. Lineage: Eukaryota; Metazoa; Chordata; Actinopteri; Perciformes; Sebastidae. The transcript is spliced from 3 exons. The record is from RefSeq and is a predicted model, not a curated record.